Molecule: long non-coding RNA, 26467 nt
Filed under: Vitis vinifera (wine grape)
Lineage: Eukaryota; Viridiplantae; Streptophyta; Magnoliopsida; Vitales; Vitaceae
Description: long non-coding RNA (VVIN_LNC006481)
Source: RNAcentral
UGAAAAACGAAGGGGUUUCAGUUUUUCUCAUGCACGCUGGGAUGCGGGGAACCCUUGAAGCUCUCUGGGAUGUCUUCCCAUUAUUCACAAAUACUGAAUGGGGUGAGAACGCAAACCUUGGGUUUCUCAAGAAGCAUAUGGGGGCUUCAUUUCAAACACGUCCUCAGCCAUGGGUUACAAACAUUAGUGUUGAUGACAUUCACUCUGGAGAUUUCCUUGCAAUAUCAAAAAUUCGUGGACGGUGGGGUGGUUUUGAGACUCUAGAGAAGUGGGUCACGGGAUCUUAUGCUGGUCAUUCCGCAGUUUGCUUAAGGGAUUCUGAAGGGAAGCUAUGGGUUGGUGAAUCAGGACAUAGAAAUGAAAAGGUGAACCCUUACAAUUUUCUGAAUCAUGUGACAAUGAAGUAGUAGAAUUAUAUCAAACAUAAGCUCUUACUGUCAACAAUUUUUCAUACUGUUUCAAUUGGUAAUAUUUUCCAAUUUCUUUUUACUAUUUUAAAUUUUUUAACAUGUUUUUUCCUGUAUAUCUAUAGGCACGGGGCUAUUUUAAGGCUAUUCUGUUGCUACGAUGGUGUUUCAGUUGAAAAUGUCCUAUGAGCUGCAUUACGCAGUCAUGUUGCAACCAAGACAGCUCUAGCAAUAAUUCCUUUUCUUUAAACUCUUUAAUUUUAGUGCUGCACUUAUUGUUUACUUCAUUUAUUAAUUUGGUGUUUUCCCCAUUUGCUGACCAAUCCUUAAACUAUUUGGGUAUGCCAAGGUUGACUAUUUCUUAUUCUUCUGCUUGCAUUACAUCUAGAAAGUUUAAAAAUUACCACAUUUUGUAUACAAUAAUUCAAUGUGGGAUUUGAGAGAGGGAAAUAAUUUUAUUCAUCAAAGAUUCUUUUGGAUCAUUAUGUUUACAUGAGUUUCUUAUCAGAUGAUACAAACUACAGUCCUUACCAGAUAAUAUAAGUUACAUACUUUUGUUUUAAUAGAAAUAAGCUUCAAUUUUUUGGUCCUUUUCUUUUAAAUUAUUAACAGAGAUUGAGUGGCAUUUUUUUUUCUUGAAGAAUAUUUUUUUUCCUUAUUCAAUUUUUUGUACUUCUCUAAGACAUUAACCUUAACUAAUAAUUAGGUAUGGGCACUCAUAUGCAACUAUGAUUUUGAGUUAAUAAAAAAUGGUGCUUUACAUUUUUGUUCUAGGGAGAAGAUGUUAUUGUAACAUUACCAUGGGACGAAUGGUGGGAUGAUGCACUAACUCAAGAUGAUUCCAAUUCUCAUAUUGCGUUGCUUCCUUUGCAUCCUCACCUCCGAGCCAAGUUUAAUGAGACAGCUGCCUGGGAGUAUGCACGUAGCAUGGAAGGCAAACCUUAUGGUUACCAUAACAUGAUAUUUAGCUGGAUAGAUGCUCUGGAUGAAAACUAUCCACCCCCCUUAGAUGCUCAUGUGGUAUUGUUUUUCUCUAUUGUUUCUCAAAUUAAGCAACAACAUGCAAUUAAAACAAGAGUCAGAAAUGUUUCUCAGAUUUGGAUUAUUUUUUUAAAGGUGCUCUGCUAUCAUCUUAUGUAGUUUCAUACAUUUUAGUAUGCUGCUGCUCCCUAUCAAACACCCCUCUGCCAACCAAAAAAAGCAGAUCUUGGUGGAUCAACCAGAUUGCUGGUAGUGUAAAAGUUUUAUUUUCAACUAAUCAGCUUUGACUGUUUGUUUUAUGUGGCAUAGGUUGCUGCAGGUAUGACAGUUUGGAAUCAAAUGUGGCCUGCAUAUGCUGCUAACUUAUGGAAUGAGGCCUUGAACAAGAGGCUUGGAACUCAGGUAUUUAAUUAGUUGUUCUUCACCUUGCUUGACCAUUCACAAAUUAUCUUACUGAUGUGUUGGUUUACUGAUAUGGCAUUCUAAUGUCAAAAAUGAUAAUGUACAUGGUUGUUAAUUCGUCACCUUUUUCAUUGAUGAAUAACAUAUGGAACAUUUUGAAGCCCUUGAGGCCAAGCACACCUGGCAAGGGGUUGGGUUGAGGAUAUGGAAGGUUCUAGGUGUGAGUCCCAGCAUGGGCAAGAAAAUAAAUCUUAUUCAUAUAGAGGAAAAAACAUAUUGAACAUCUGAAUCUUUGAUGUAUAAUUGGUUGGAAAAAUAAAGUUCACCAUGUAGACUGCAUUAGGAAUUUGGGACUUGGCAUUUAAGGAUCCUCCUAAGUAUCCUCGGUCUGACGUAGAUAUCAUCAUGGCUGAUCUUAAAAAUCAAGUCAUCAGAAAUCUUGUAGUUUUAGAAAAAGUUAUAUCUAAUGGUUGCAAUCAUACUUGGUAUUGUUGAAUGUUAGAUUUGAAAUAAGAAAAAUGUCUAGUUGAUUUUUCUGAGAGAAAAAGGAAAAAUUGUUCUUGUUCUUAGCAUCCGAUGUAACUUUUUCCUUAAUGCAGAACCUUUCUCUUCCUGAGAUUCUAAUUGAAACUGAAACGCGUGGAUCGUCAUUUGCUGAAUUGCUGACAAUUCCUGAGCAGGAUGAUUGGGUUUACACUGAUGGAAAGUCAACAUCUUGUGUUGCUUUCAUUCUGGAAAUGUAUAAGGAGGCAGGAUUAUUUGGUCCAAUUGCUAGCUCUAUUCAAGGAACUGAGUUCACGGUGAGUCAAAGCAAUACAGAGUUUGCUAGUCCUGAUUAAAAGAAGUCACCAUUUAGCAUUAUCAUGAUAUAUUUUGGUUAUCAGUAGAUAAAUGUUAUGAAGAAAAUUGAACAUAAAUUAUCCAGCAUCAAAUGAUUAGGAUGAUCUGAUCCUAGUGGUUUUGGGGUUGAAGGUUUUCUGAACCAGAUAAAUGAUCCGUGUUCCUGUUUCACAUUCCCUCCUUAGUCUGCAUCGGAACUUAACUUAUAAUGUUCCCAAAUCAAAGUGUUAAGCAAUCUGAUUUAGUGGGUUGUUUGUGUAAAAAAGCAGAGUUAUUGCUGUCUUGCAUAUGUCUCAAUUUGUUUUAUUUCCAAAAAUGCAGAUAAAAGAUGCAUACACACUGAGUUUUUUUGAAAAUGAUUCAAGCCGCCUGCCAAAAUGGUGCAAUGAUGGGGACAUUGUGCAGCCUUAUUGUCAGAUAAAAGGAAAGUAUCGAAUGGAAUUGCCAGAGUACAAUACCCUGGAUCCAUACUCUCAUAUGAACGAAAAAUGCCCAUCCCUGCCUCCAAAAUACUCGAGGUCUGCAAAUUGCUGAAAAGGAUGAAAGGUUGUAGGUUUUAGAAUCAAGAAGUGUUAGAAGCAACAAAAAAAACUAUAUUUGAGCUAGCGAAAAUGUCUACUCUUAUUGAAUGAUCAAUGCAACAUUUAUACACAAGUUUGUAACAGAAAACAACAGAAAAGCAGCAAAAAUAGCUAUAUGUUGGGACUAACAGCUAUUUCCUUUAAAAUAGCAACAGCUACAUAACAGUUAUUAAGCUCCAUGAAACUCUAUCAGCUUCAUUGACUAAGUUUUUCAUGGUUGCAGCCUCAAUUUCAGCAUCUCUUUACACCUCAGCAGCUUUCUUAACAGAUUCGCUUUCACACGACUUCCGGCAUGUUUGUAGGUACUAAGGCAUUUUACUCAACACUCCUCCUUGACUUAGGAGCUACAAACUCCAAGUCUUUUAAUGAGAAAUUCAAACCUAGCUCUCGGUAGGGCUUUUGUUAGAAUAUCAACAUUUUGUACUUCUGUUUUACAAUGUUCCAAAUUUACUUCUCAAUCCUGCCGUAUUUCCCUUAAGAAAUAAAACUUGAUUUUUAAGUGCUUUGUCCUGCCAUGGAAUAUUGGAUUACUUGCAAUUUAAAUUGCAGCCUGAUUGUCAACAAAGACUUGUGUGCUUCCAGUUUGCUCCAUGUUUAGGUCUGUUAGCAGCUUUCUUAUCCAAAGUGCUUGAUUUGCAGCUGCAACAACAAUGUACUCUGUUUCGGCUGUGGAUUGUAGCACGAUAUCCUGUUUUUUAGAACACCAAAAGAAAAAACCUGAACCAAAACUGAAGCAAUAACCUGAUGUGCCUUUUAUAUAUCUCACAACACGUUUUGCUGCCUGCAAGUGAAUUUCACUAGCACAAUGCAUGUAUCUUGAGAGUAGACUUACAACAUGUACUAUAUUUGGCCUUGUUGCAGUCAAAUACAUUAGGCAUCCAAUCAUGCUUCUGUAUAACUCUUCAUCUACUUUUUCAGCACUAUUUUCUUUACAAAACUUUUCUUUUUGAUUCAUAGGUGUUGCUGUGGGCUUGCAUUCCUCCAUCUUGAACUUUUUGAGUUUCCUUUGCAUACUUUUGCUGACAGAUGAAUAUCUCGUGCUGAUUCUGAUGCACUUCCAUUCUCAAGAAAUAAGACAUGUCUCCAAGAUCUGUCAUCUCAAAGACCUCCUCCAUUUCAGCUUUGAAUUUAACCAUUAAACAUUGAUUGCUCCCUGUUACAAGCAAAUCAUCAAUGUAUAAUGAAACAAUAAGUAUGUCAGAAUUAACUUUUCUAAUAUAAAGUCUGGAUUCACUUUUGACCUUUUUUAGACCCCAGACUAAGCAGAUGUGCAUUAAUCCUGCUGUACCAAGCUCUGGGGGCUUGCUUUAAGCCAUACAAGGCUUUCUUUUGUUGAUAAACCUUGUCUUCUUUCCCUUUUACUGCAAAUCCUUUAGGUUGUCCCACGAAGAUUUCCUCCUCAAGGUAGCCAUUUAGGAUGGCUGAUUUUACAUCUAGCUGACAUAUUUUCCAACCUUUUUGAGUAGUCAAAGCUAGCAGCAUCCUUAUUGUAUCCAACCUAGCUACAAGUCCAAAGGUCUUUGAAAAAUCCACAUCGAACAUUUGAGCAUAACCUUUGACAACCAGCCUGGCUUUAUGUUUGUUUACAUAACCAUCAAAAUUGAGUUUGGUCCUAUAAACCCACUUGACACCAAUGGCCUUUUUAUGUGUUGGUCUGUCAACUAGCUCUCAAGUGUUUUUUUAUCUCUAUCAUGUUGAGUUCCUCCUGCAUUGCAACUCUCCAUUUUUGAUCCUCGGCAGCUUUAGUAAACCCUGCAGGCUUAAACACAACCACAUUACACCUUUGAUAAAUAUCAGAAAGUGAUCUGGUGCCUUUUAUAGGAAUGUCAUUAAUAUUUUCAUCAAGGAACUCGAGAUUCUGAUUUUUUUAGCAUCCUAGCUCCAUUUAUCAUCCUCCGUGAAUUUGACAUCUCUGCUGACAAUGACUUUGUCACCAUGAGGCAUAUAGACUCUAUAAGUCUUUGAUUGGCUGCUGUAUCCUACGAAGAUCCCAGCUUUAAUAGCCAACCAGUUAUUAGUAAUGAUGAAUGAAAAAACCUAGCAAAGAGUGAAGACCCAUAUUGUACAACGAUUUAUAUUAGCACGUUGUAGGUAUGACCAUAUGGGUUAGUGAUACCUCAUCCUUGCUCAGCAUCUGUUUGUUUGUUUGUCUAUCUCUUUGCUUUCUCACAUGUGUGCACACAUACAUAUAUGUGGUGAGUUGGGAUGACUUUAUUGGAUUGGAGCUUGGUGAAAAAUUGGUGAGAUCCGUAAGACAUUGAGCCCCAAAUUUUAGACUUGGUGAAUUGUGAGAGUCUGAAAAUUUUGAUCAACAUCUUGGCGCAAUAAUCCUUUUGUUUAUUUGGAUGAGUUUUGGUCUGAAUGAUAGAUGAUUUCGGUUUUGGGAGUUUGGUGAAAGAUUAAAAAAUAAUUUGAAUAAUGAAACAGGCAGAAUAUGUUGUAGCCUCGAAAGAAUUCUAAUGGAGGUAGAAGGUUGGGAUUUGGAGGAAAAUUUAAAUGACCUCAUUAAGCACUAGUAUGUGACCUGUUUGCUAAUCCCUAUUUUCAAAAGUAUAAAGUAAUGCUAUGAAUGUAGAAGUUGAAGAUACUGAAUUAGCGGAUCAAGCUGUUUUACGGUCUUUUUUGUACAUGUUUUCAGAUUGGGUUAGGAUGUAUGUAGAUUGUUCAUCAUGGUCCAUUUUCGAUUUCAAUGAUUGGUUGGGAUGUAAGUAAGGGGGUGAUUUUUUGCUAUUCCUUUUCUUUUUGGCCUUGUUGCCUUGUAUACAUCAUGUAUACUUUCAGGGGAAAAAAAUGAUGAUAUUUCAUUGUUUGAUGUCGAAAAUAUGAAAUUGUACUGAAGUUGAUAUGGUUGGUGCAGAAUGACAUUCGCAAGAACCCUGCUUUCAGAUCACAGUUCCAUGAGAUGUGCGCUAAAGUAGGAGUAGACCCCUUGGCAUUGAAUAAAGGAUUUUGGGUAGAGCUAUUAGGAAUUGGUGACUUCUAUUAUGAACUUGGUUGGUUUCAAUCUACUUGAUGGUGCACCUCUUGAAAUUUAUUUAAAAAGAAGUCUCUGACCUCUGAUCUGCCAUUUCUUUAAAAUAUAUGUUAUUUUGUUGAUUAUUCUGAGACUAGUUUGAAUGCAUGUGUUACUUUUUCAUGCUAUAAUUAAUGCAUGUUGUCAGUGUGCGUAUUCUAAACAACAUUUUUUUCUUGAUAGGAAACCACGCGUGAAUAUAUUGAUAGAAAAAGAAGUACAAAAGGAGGAUGAGGAAUCCUCCCGCCAAAAGUAAAACUAAACAACAUGAAAAAAUAACAAUACACUAGGCCGUCCCAUUGGAACUAUUGGAUCUACACACUGCUAGCCAAUCAAGUUGUAAUACGUUAAGGGGGAUGCCCUUAAAACCCGCUGAACAAAAAGCCCAAAAGGAUGCAAGGAAAUGAAUGGAAUCCCAAAGAUUCUCUGAAUUCCUAGUUUUGUCCUCAAAUAUCCUAACAUUUCUUUCCUGCCACACAACCCAGAUUAACGCUAUACUCGCGUUUUGCCACAGAAUUACCCCUCUCUUGGACUUGCCAAAUCCUUUAUAAUUGAUGAACAUCAUGUCUGAAAUGCUUUUCGGAGGUACCCAAUCCAUCUUGGCUAGCUGAAAAAGUCUGUGCCACAACCCCAACGUCACUGAACAAUGGAGAAAGAGAUGAUCUGCUGAUUCUCCUUGCUCCAUACACAACUUACAUAUGUCAAGGUUAAUAGCUUUGUGGGGUCUCCUCAAUUGUCGCAAGUCAUUGGUAUUUACCUUUUUGUGUGUCACAAGCCAGACAAAGGCCUUAACUUUGAAAAGGACUUGAGAUUUCCAUACAAACUUAGUGGGGAAAAAUGGAGAUGAAUUAGGCAUUUGGGACAAGGCUGUAAAGAAAGACUUAACUGUAAACAAUCCUGAAGACAAUAAGGACCAUGAUCUCGCGUCUGAAGCGGAAGUGGAUAAGUUCAUACAAUCUAGAGAGUGCAUGAGGCGUUCUAGAUCUUCUAUCUCAGAAUCGGUUAGAUUACGACAGAAAUUAAAGUUCCAUGAGAAAGGGCGAGACGAACCGAGAAUUGAAGAUAUAUGAAUAUUUUUAUCCAUUACUACUCGAUAUAGUCUUGGAUGUUGGUCUUUAAAGAUUUGGUCCCCCCACCACAAAUCUUCCCAAAAGCGAAUUUUUUCCCCAUCUCCUAUGAUAAACCGAGUAUACUUGGAAAAAUCCUAAAAGACUUGUGCAAUGGCCUUCCAAGGACAGCGGUGUGACCAUCUAACUACAGUAUUGGCAUCCCAACCAUUUGAGUGUGUCCCGUAUAUGCUAAGAAUGACCUGAUGCCAUAGAGUUGUACUUUCCCUAGGAAACCUCCACAACCAUUUCCCUAAAAGAGCGUGAUUCCUUAAAGGUAUCUUCCCAAUCCCUAAACCCCCUUUAACCCUCGGCUUGCACACUGCAUCCCACCUAACAAGAUGAUCUCUUUUGCCUUCCUCAACCCCUGACCAAAGAAAGUCCCUUUGCAUUCUCUCAACUUUUGCAACCACUGAAGUUGGAAUCUUAAACAGAGAAAGGAAGUAGCUAGGGAUAUGGGAAAGGUAAGAGUGUAGGAGAGUUAGCCUACCACCUAAAGAUAAGUAAGCCUUUUGCCAUCCGUCUAAUCUCCUAGAGAUUCUCUCAAUCAUUGGAUCCCAGAAUCCACAAGUAGUUGGAUUCCCUCCCAAAGGAGGAUCCAGAUAAAGUAUGGGUCAAUCUGAAGCCUUGCAGUCAAGCAUCAAGGCUAACCUAGAGAGAUGAUUCUGAUCAAGGUUGAUGCCAAAAAGAUUACUCUUGUCAAGAUUGACCUUAAGCCCAGAGAUUUGACCAAACACUAACAAUAAACUCUUAAGAGUUUGCAAUUCUUCCUGGGGGAAGAUCCGAAUAGACGCAUUUGGAUGGAUAAGGUUCCAAAAAAAGUGUCUUUUUUUGCUUGGGAAGCUUCGUGGGGGAAGAUCCUCACCUUGGAUAAGCUUCAAAGAAGGGGGUGGCAGCUCCCUAAUCGGUGUUUUUUGUGCAGCUGCGAAGAAGAAAAUGCGAAUCAUAUUCUUUUACAUUGUACAGUGGUUAAGACUAUUUGGGAGAUUACCCUUGUCAUCUUCAGAGUUCAAUGGGUGUUCCCAAAGUCAGUUAUAGAGGUGUUACUUAGCUGGAGGGGUUCUUUUGUGGGAAAAAAAGAAAAAAGAUAUGGAAUUCCAUCCCGUUGUGCAUAUUUUGGACGGUUUGGAAGGAAAGGAAUAGGUUAGCUUUCAGAGGAGGGUUGUUAGAUAUUCAGAAAUUCAAAAAUUUUUUUGUUUGUAACUUGUGGAGUUGGGCUAGGGUGUACAUUGGUGAGGAAACCUACUCUCUUUUAGGCUUUUUGGAGUGGCUUGCGACCACUUGAGGGUGGGUGAGGUUUAUCCCCUUUUUUCUUUCAGCUCUGUUUUUUGGGCUUUUCUGUAUACCCCUAUAUACGUGCGGCUUCUUAGCCUUUUCUAAUAUAUUUGGUUGUUUAUCUAUCAAAAAAAAGAGUUUGCAAUUCUUCCUUUCUAGGGUUAGCAAGAGGAUGGUAUCGUCCCAUCUGUUUCUACCUAUCUUGAAGCCUUCCAGCAAAUUUCUUGCCUCAACUUUCAACAACAUUCUACUCAACACAUCUGCAACAAUAGUGAACAGGAAAGGAGAUAAAGGGUCACCUUGUCUUAAACCUCUAGAUGCCUUGACCCACCCUUUAGCAUUACCGUUCACUAGAAUAACAUAAGAGACUGACGACAGACAACCUCUCAUCCAACUCCUCCAUUUAGAACUAAAUCCCUUCUUCUCCAACACGUGAUCCAAAAAAUCCCAUUUCACAUGGUCAUAAGCCUUUUCAAAGUCUAUCUUGAAUACAACUCCCUCCUUCCCUGAUCGCCUUUUCUCGUCCACAAUCUCAUUGGCUAUAAGAACUGCAUCCAGAAUUUGUCUCCCUUGAACAAAAGUACCUUGAGUGGAGUGGAUGGUCUCGUGUAGUACUCCUCUUAGUCGCCCUGACAAGACUUUUGCUAUUACCUUAUAUAGACAAGUGAUCAGACUAAUAGGUCUAAAAUCCGAAAUCUUCUUUGACUGACUCUUUUUGGGCAAAAGGACUAUGAAGGAAGUAUUGGUGUUUUGAUUAAUAAUCCCGCUAUUGUGAAACUCUGCAAACACCCUCACUAAGUCUUCCUUGAUCACAUCCCAACAAUCCUGAAACACUGCUAUGGUGAAACCGUCAGGCUCCGACGCCUUAUCCCUAUCUAACUGAAAGAUGACAUUAAAGAUCUCUACUUCAGCGAAAGGGGAAUCCAGCCUUGAAGCACUCUCUUCUGAUAUAGGGGACCAAUCAAUACCUUCUACUCUCCAUGACUCACCAGGAGGACUCGAGUAGAGCUUUUUGAAAUAAAGUAAUAUCUCUUCUGUGAUGCUCUCGGAAUUAUCCAACACCAAACCUCUUUCAUUUUCCAAGAAUUUGAUGAAAUUCCUGUUUCGUCUCCCAUUAGUCAUUUUGUGAAACAACUUUGAGUUACAAUCCCCGUCCUUAACCCAUUUUACCUUAGCUUUUUGUCUCCAAUGAAUUUUUUCUCUCAAAAUUAGUUCCUCUAGCUCCCCUUUUCUUACAACUCUUUGAGCUGCAAGAUCAGAAGAGAGAGCCCCUUCUUGUUCAAUGGCAUCAAUGUAAGCUAUUUCAUCCAAUAUGGUUUUUUUCCUUUCCUUAAGCAUUUCAAAAGUAUUCUUAUUCCAAUAUUUCAAUUUUGCCUUAACGAAUUGUAACUUCCUAGUGAACUUGUGACCUUUCUAACCAUUUCCUUCAAAUUCUCUCCACCAACUGCUAAAGCACUCUUUGAAACUAUGAUGUUGCAACCACAUAUUCUCGAACCUAAAAGGUGUUGGGCCCCACUUGAACGGAUUGGUAUCCAAGACAAUCGACCAAUGAUCCGAUGUCCAUCUAGGAAGAACUUCUUGAAGGCUUUGAGGGAAGGAAAGCUCCCACUCAUUUGAAUAGAAAAACCGAUCCAAUCUCUUACACACCGGUGACUCUUGCAUGUUUGACCAAGUAAAAGAGGCAUUCCGUAAUGGGGGAUCAUGUAAUUCGCAUUCUCUUAUAAAACCAUCAAAAUCCCUCAUGCUGGAAGUGAAUCCAGAUCCCUCCAGUUUUUCUGAUCUUCUCCUUAUAACAUUGAAGUCACCUCCCACACACCAUGAAGGAUAAGUAAGGCAAAAAAGGUCUAAUAACUCCACCCAAAAAUCCUUCCUAAUUGAGGGAUUGUUUGGCCCAUAGACUGCGGACAACCACAAUGGUCCGCUUCCAUCCAACAAGAACUUGACUGAGACGGAAAAGGAUCCUAUUACCACCUCCUCACCGCUCAUUUUUUUUGAGUUCCAAAUGAUCAAAAUCCCUCCUGAAGCCCCGCACGUCGGGAGAAUAACCCACUCCUUAUUCCUAACCGACCAGACACUAUUUACAAACUUUCUGUCGCACACCUUUCUUUUUGUUUCCUGAAACAUCACUACAUUCGGAUUCUGAAGUCGCAAAAAUUCCUUAACCACCCUCCUCUUUUUCCUAGAUCCCAGCCCCCUUAUAUUCCAGCUUAUGAUCCUCAUAAUAACACCUCACUGUCCCUAAAUCUCCAAACCAUCACCACCAAAGCUCAAUUGCCUAUGGCAAUUCUGUUCUUUCGUCUUGAAUACACCUUAAUAUCCAAGGAGCUUAAGACCUCACAAACUUUAGCCAUUUUGCUGGGGGAAAGACCUUCUAUUUGGAACCCCCCUCAUCUGGGAGAAUUCUGAGUCUCCCUGGCUUACUGCACCCAGAAUAGGGGCCCCAUGAGGCGAGUUGGGAUUGGUCCUAUCAUACUUAAAGCUCUCAGACAUCAGAUUCAAUCUAGCCAGCUGGGACACCGCUUCAACAUGAUUAGGAUUGCCAACAUACCCAAGACGAUAAUCCCCAACGACAUUUUUUUUUGAACAACUUUCAGUUAACACUCGGUCUUUCAUAGGAAACUGGGAAUGAAAGGCUGAAAUGGAGAGAUCGGGAACAGAAGGACUUUGGUAUGGAGGAGCCACACCAGAGAAGGGAGACCGUAAAGGCAGAGAAGGCUGAGAAGAAUGGUGAGAAGAUACCUGGAAAAUUCCCACUUCCGUCAUUCCACAGUACCCCUCAAAGAUAAGCCCUUUUUCUUUGUUUGCGGGAUAAGAAGGAUGAUCUGAGACUGAAGAUCCACUAUGAGAAUAACCCGCAAAGCCCUUAACACCUGCUCUGUCUUCUCCUAUAGCAUUAUUGCGCAUUUUCUCCUUCUCUUUUGACAUAAAAGGAGCCCUAAGAAUAUUCCUUUGUUCCUCGAUUUCCUCUGUCGGCGUCGUUCCUUCCUCGAAACACCCUUGAACCAACUGUGAUCCCGCCUCGGAGGCUUCUUCCAAUGGAAGAGUAUCGCUACCUGUCGGCGAUCUCUCAGUCGUGAGUGGCUCUCCUCGGCUUCGAUCCCCUUGUCGGCAUGCAGAGCUUGAUGGAAGUAGAACAUUCCACAGCUUCUUUGAACCACACUUCACCGUGAAGCCCCUCCGUUGAUUUUCAGAUUCCUCGUAGCCUACCUUCGCCUUCCCCUUUGCAGAGUGAGUAGCUCUGUGUGACGGGCCCUUUGACAAUCUGUCUUGCUUGCCUCCCAUCUCUUGGCCCAGCGACUGAAUCGGGCCUAUUCUAAACAACAUGCAUGUUGUCAGUAUGAUUCUUGCACAGUGCAGUUCAAAUGAAAUUUUGUAUUGGGGAGAAGUGAGCAGAAAUGUUCUCCAGGAGAUGUUGCAAGGGCACAAUUGACCCAAAUUCUGAUCUUAGAUUAGAAUUUGGAACAUAAAUUAUGAAUCAAUUUGUUGCGUAGGUUAAGAUUCCUCUGUGCAUUUAUCUUCUCUAUUUUCUAUUAUUAAUGAAUCUUUAUUGCAUAUUGAAACUGGGUGAUAGCUUUUUGUAGCCCCUGAUAUGAAUGGAUAAAAUGUGUGGGUACAUACAUGCAAAUAUGCAUACCUACACACUCACAGACUCCACAUCAUAUAUUUGGAUAAAUACUUACCUUAUCUUUUUGAUAAGUACCUAUAAAAAAAAAAAUAUAUUUGGAUAAGUACUUUACUUUGCAUACCACCUCAGCCCCUGCCCCAAGGAAAAAGAAAAAAAAAAGGCAAAACUUUAAGCUACUUCAAUUACCUUAAUGAAACACCAUCGCCUGUGUGUGCUGCAACCUCUAAAGAACUGCUGAUUCAGUAUUCAUGCUUCCUGCAGUUUCAAAUAAUAAUGUCCUUUUUAGUGGUUUGUUUGAGAUAAAACUUUCUUAUUUAUAUUGAAUUGAAGAUAUCCAUAAAAAAAUGGAUAUUGAAUUAAAGAUUCUUAGGGAAUAUUGAUUCUAUUUUCUGUAAAUAUUUAUCAACCCAAUUUCAGAGAUGAAACUUACUUUUGUUUGUGAGUAUACUUGGCUAGACAGGUGUGCAAAUUGUUGACAUAUGCUUAGCGACAAGAGUUCACAAUGGAGGUUUCAUUGACUUGCAGGAACUGUGCAAUUUGCUUUGCCAGAGACGUAAAAGUUGCUCAUGGAGCUGUAUCUGAGGAUGACUGCUUGCGUGCCAUAAGUAAGCUGAAGGUAUUGUAGUUGAUUCUCUCUCUUAAUGUUUCACAGCAUACUAUGUUUAUGGAGCAAGUGCUCUGAAAUGGCUUGAAUUCUUGGUAUAUGCUUAAGAUCUGCAUGGGUGGUGGUAGGGUUUUGGAAUCUGAUGUGAAGAUGUGUUGCUUAAUUCAAAGUUCUUAAAACUAAGAAGUCUUGAGGAAAUCAAGUAAAGGAUGAGAGACAUAGUCUAUGACCCUGCACCUUUCCCAUAUUCAUUCAAAUAUAGUUUAAGAGUGUGUUUAGUGUGCCAGUAUCCAAAUUAAGAGUUGGAAAUCAUAUUUCUUAAAAUAAAAUCCCAAAAUGCAUUGAAUCUGAGAUUUUUUAUCCUAACAUUUAGUUAAAGUUGAAUUAGAAAUUUCACUUACAUUUUAUUCCAAUCCUAGGCUUUUGAUCUUAUAAAUUCCUGAAAUUAUUGUCAAUCUACAUGAUAAUCCCACAAAUGGUAUUAACAAAAAUGGGUUUAGUUAAAAAUAUAAAAAGAAAUAAAUAUGAGGUGUGUAUGUUUCUUUUAUCUUCAUCCCUGAAGAAUAUGAAUAAAAGAAUAGGCAAUCUUAAAUAGGUGAGGGAAUUUCACAUCCAAGGAAAUCAAAACUUUCAUACAAUGACUAUUAUCAUCUUGCCUCCCAUCUUGCUCCACAGCUCAACUAGAUAGAUGUGAUACCAGCGUCGCACAGGAAUGUUUUGGUCAAAAAAAGAAAAAAAGAGAAAGGGUAAACAAAACUUUUAUAAUUAUGCACGUUUUUUUUUUUUUUUUUUUUUGAUAGAUAAACGAUCAGAAUAUAUUAGAAAAGGCUAAAAAGCCGCAUGUAUACAGGGGGUAUACACAAAUGCCCCAAAAGGGGAACCGAACAAAAAAGAGGGAGAACCUCACCCACCCUCAAGUGGCCGCAAGCCACUCCAAAAAGCCUAAAAGAGAAUAGGUAUCCUCACCAAUGUACACCCUAGCCCAACUCCACAAAUUACAUACAAAAAAAUUCUUGAAUUUUUGUAUAUCUAAAGACCCCCCCCUAAACGCUAACCUAUUCCUUUCCUUCCAAACCGUCCAAAAAAUGCACAAUGGAAUGGAAUUCCAGGUGUCUUUUCUUUUUUUCCCCACAAAAGAACAUGCUAAACCCAUAAUUUGAUAUAGGAUGCCAUUCCCCUAUUAAAGGUAAUUGUGUCAAAAUAUUGUAUGAAUGGCCGAAUCCCUUGACCUUGAGUUUUGUAUAUUAUAUAUAGACUUUACAAGGAUGCUAUACAUGGAAAGCAAAUAAAAACAAAUAAAUUCCCGCAUGAUUCUAGCCCUAUACAUGUAAACUAUAAUCUGUCAAAUAAUAUAUGUUAACUGUACAGAAUAAUAAAUGGAGAAAUAAAGAAACAAUUGUGGGCUAAAAUAAGGAAAGAAGAAAUGUGGACAGCAAGUUGUCCUUUGACAGCCCCCCUCAAAUUGAUGCAGGUUAAUCAACAAGCAUCAAUUUGCUACUUAGCAAGCAAUGUCGAUGACGAGGGAGAGCCUUGGUGAAGAUAUCAGCAACUUGUAAGUCAGUGGAAAUAUGUGGAAGAGUGAUAACAUGAGCUUCAAAGGUUGCACGGAUAGAGUGACAGUCCACUUCAAUAUGCUUUGUGCGCUCAUGAUAGACAGGAUUAGUCGUGAUCUGAAUAGUACUUGUAUUAUCGGCAUGUAGAGGUGUAGGAUCGGUCUCAAAAAAGUCUAACUUCACAAGCAAACCUCGAAGCCAAAUGAUUUUAGAAUAAGCAAGAGACAUCGCCCGGUUCUCAGAUUCCGUAGAUGACUUAGAGACUCUAUCUUGCUUCUUACUUUUCACAAACAUCUUAAACUAAAACUCCCUACUAAGAUAGUUUUUGCCAUUGAAACAAACAAUAGAAUAUUCUUCAGACAUUACGAAAACAGAAAUAGCCUAGGAAACAAAAAAAACAUCGUCAAAGAGCCUAAAUCUGAUAACAAACCUCCAAAUAAUCGAAGAUCUCCAAGAGCCUAGAAUCGAAGAAACCCAAAGAAAACUCCAAGAUCACAUCACAGAUGUGUUGUCACAACCACCAGAAAAAAAAGAAAAAGAACCGAAAAGCUGGGCUAGAGUCCGAGAGCCCCUAGGGCUAAAUCCGAGAGCCCUUAGGGCUAAAUCCGAGAGCCCCUUAGGGCUAAAUCCGAGAGCCCCUUAGGGCUAAAUCCGAGAAAACCUAAAGAAAAACUAGAAAGCGUGUAAACUCUAGGUUCAGAACACAAGCUCUAAUACCAUGUCAAAAUAUUGUAUGAAUGGCCGAAUCCCUUGACCUUGAGUUUUGUAUAUUAUAUAUAGACUUUACAAGGAUGCUAUACAUGGAAAGCAAAUAAAAGCAAAUAAAUUCCCGCAUGAUUCUAGCCCUAUAUAUGUAAAUUAUAAUCUGUCAAAUAAUAUAUGCUAACUGUACAGAAUAAUAAAUGGAGAAAUAAAGAAACAAUUGUGGGCUAAAAUAAGAAAAGAAGUGUGGGCUAAAAUAAGGAAAGAAGAAGUGUGGACAGCAAGUUGUCCUUUGACAAAUUGACAUGGUUGUUCACUCAUAAAAUGUAUCCUGUUUCAUUUUUCUAUUUUUUCUAUAUCUUGUAUCUUAUCAUAUCAUGUUUCCUAAGUUUUCUUACAUAAUGAAAAAUAAGAAGAAAAAAUACACAUACAUAUAUGGAAUACAUAUUUAUUGGAAGAAUAAAAGUAUAUAGUAAUGUAUAAUCAAUUUCAUGAAAGGUGGUAGGAUUUCAAGAGUUAAACUAUGUCAUACCAUAUAAAAAAAAAAAAUGAACGCUAGAGUUUUGAAAAGUUCAAUUUUACAAAAUAUGAGUUUAAUGCAUAGGUUAGUUACAAAAUCUACUAAAAUAAACUUUUUGAAAAUUCAGAUAUGAUUUUUAGUUCCAAAUUGAGAUUAGGAAUAUGUACUUACAUAUGUUUGUGAUAUGUGUGUUUUUAUGCGUGAUCACCAAAAUUUUAAUUUUUUGUGUUUUGUCAUCGUUCGUUUCUCACUAGAAAAGAAAUCUUGAAACUAAAAGAAGAAAAACUAAUUUAUUAAAUAAAAGAUUUUUAUUUACAAAUCGCCAUUAUUUCAAUGUCAAUUUUCAAAUAAUUAAAAUUGCAAUUCCCCAAUAUUCAUUGUAAGAAUAAUUUUAGUUGAACUCUCAAUAUUUUAUGUGUCUUUUAACAACAAGAAUAUAACUUCUCAUGUAUGAUUAUUUUCUCUUUUUUAUGAUCAAUUUUUAACCUUAAAGUACAUUUUAAACACAUAAUUAAUAAUGCUUUUAAGAAAAAAAAAUGUUGAAUUUGAUUAUUCUUAAAAAAACUAUGAAAAAUAGCUAAAGGUGCAUGUAUUAUUAUAUUGUUGUAUUAUGUCAUAUCAUGUAUCCUGUUUGCGUCGUCUGAUACACUUAAGAUACGGAUUGUCAAUACGUAUUUGAAUUUCAUAAAGAAUGUAUUAUAUUUUUGUAUCAUAUUGUUUAUCAUAAGUUUUUAAUGAUGGUAACUAGAAGCCAUAUGCAUCCCAAGGGAUUUCCCUGGUCAAUAGUUAACCAAUUCAAUCAAUCUCACCUCUAUAACAUUCUUCUAGAUUAAAAGAUAACUGCUCCCAUUAAACAUCUAUGGAUGGAUAUUAGGACUUUCUUGGAGCAUCUAUCAAUGAUUAAGACUUUCAUCUAAUGCUGACAUCUAUACUUGAUUUCUUUUAUUUUCAGUAUUAUUAAUUUUUUGAUAUAUAUUGGUGCCAUUACUAUUUCUUGCCAGAAGUAAAUGGAAUGUUUGCAUGGUUUGAUCAGUAGCGAACUUCUUUAAUAUAAACGUCAGGAUGCAUCUCCUAAGCAGUGUUCUUGAUGUUUAUGAUACACUGUAUUAACAUUCGGUGCUCGAACCUUUCCAGGUAUUGGGUAGUGGUUUUGAGGUGAUAUCUGUUGGAAAGCGAAAGCUUGUUAGGUCUGUCCCUACAGAGUUGAACAAAGACCAUAAUUCAAUUCUAGAGCUGGCUCAGGUUAUGAUUGUUUUCAAUUUUUCCCUUAAGACUUCUUGAUGCAAUAUUCUCUUAUAUAAAACUUAUUGCUAUUUUUUCUUCUCCUCUAUUGCUUGCCUGACAUUGUUAAAACUUUUAAAAUCCAUGCAUAUGUUAGUUUCAGAUUAUAGGACUGGUCUGAGUCAGAUUUGCUCUAUGUGUGUCAUUGGAGAGGACCAACUAUAAAGAAGUGGAUCUAUCUUUCUUAUCAUAUUUAACCACUAAGAUAUGGGGCAAAAAAUUGCAAAAAACAUGCAAAGACCUUCGUUUUAUUAGCUAAGUAGGCCAUAUUCUAAAGGUCUUCUCAUGGAAUCCAUGGACUGAGCACUUGUUUCAUGUUGUCAACCUAAAUAUGCUUGUUUUAAUAGCCAAGCAGUUAUUAGUAAUGAUGAAUAAAAAAACCUAGCAAAGAGUGAAGACCCAUAUUUUACAGCGAUUUAUAUUAGUGUGUUGUAGGUAUGACCAUAUGGGUUAGUGAAACCUCAUCCUUGCUCAGCAUCCGUCUGUCUGUCUGUCUAUCUCUUCGCUUUCUCACACGCGUGCACACAUACACAUAUAUGUGGUGAGUUGGGAUGACUUUAUUGCUGAACUAGCCUAGUUUGCUAAGGUGGUUCUGAAAAGUUGGAGACAGUGUACAAAGACUUCAUUCUGAACGUAGGGAAGUUUACCUGUGGUAAAGGUAGCUUGUUUGCUUUACUACAUGUAAAUGAAGCACUUUCAUUUAUGGCAAACUUGGGGACCUUAACCAACUGAUCGGCUCUGGUCUAUUAAACACAGAACAAAACCAUAGUUCUUUCCCUAUUUCCACUAUAAUGAUUGUCACAAUUGUGUUGCAAUUACUCUUCCUUCCAGGCUCAAGGCUUUGUUACUAUUGAAGAGGUGGAAGGACGGCUCUCCUGGCCCUCUGGGCGCGCCACUGAUGCCCUUGAAACUUUAUUGGACGUAAGAUUUUCGUUGAUCAUCAAUCAGUCCUAAUAUUCAUUUUAAUUGAUGCUCAUGAAACUCUGUUGGGUGAUGCAGGAAGGUCUUGCAAUGAUUGAUAAUGGUCACAGAGAUGGCAAACGCCGGUACUGGUUUCCCUGUGCAUCUUCACUCUCUGCUGUAGGAGCUGAUAUUCUCAAGAUUUGAUUUUUCAGCACCAUGUUUUCUGCCCUGGGCAUUGUCUGGUAAAAGGGUGUGUAUGGGAUAGGUCUAGCAUUGGAAUCCAGUAUUUUUGUUUAUUUAUCAGGAAAAAAUGCAAAAAAAUAAAAAUAAAAACCCCAUUUGUGAUAUAGACAUUUGAUGUGGGGACCUGAAAGGAAAAAAAGGGUGUUUGUUCCACCCCACAACCCCGCUCCACCACUUUGUUUUCCUUGUUACUAAUGUUUCAUCUUUUUAAAGAUGUGAUUGUCAGAACACGAAGCAUCUCUCCACGGCUAUCAUCUGUUCCAACUAUAGUUAUUCCCUUCCAUUUGAUGACUGGCAAAACAAUGAAACAGUGAAUAGUAACCCUGAAACGAACUUUAUAGAAAAGCUUUAAUUGUUUGGUUGCUAAGAAAAUGGAGAAAAGGAUGGAAGCGAUCCGGAGAUAUAACAUUAAACUGGAUCGAGUGAUUAUAGCAUGAAUGUGUUCCUCCUGGUUGUGCAGCCGAUGACCAUAUACAUAUUCACUUUUUAGGAAUGAAUCUCCAAAUUAAAUACAUGAUGCAAUUUUUUUAUUGUCCCCAAACCCUGCAAUUCUAGCAAAGAGAGGGAGAAAAAAAAAUGAUCAGUAGACUGUAGUUUGUGAAUGUGUUUCAAUCUCUUCGAUCCAGCCAAAGUUGGGCUCGCUCCAAGACCUCGGCCGCACACCAAGCUGGAAGAACAAGAUCAUCUCCAAGGCCUCAAAAACCUUAUUCUCAUCCAAGAACUCAUUCCAAACUCCGCUCACAAUACAGUAGUUGUUGUUAUAAGGUGCAUGAUGGUGGGCAGCAUGCUGUGAUCUCGACACUAGCAGUCCAGCAUCUUGCAGCGCCACCACUAGCGGAGGGAGGCGGCUUUUUGUGCCAUGAGCCCAGGCAUGGAACUGCUGGCUGAACAUAAUGCAGCCUGAGCACACCCAAACAAAGCCAUGUACAACUGGAUCAUUGAAGACAAGAUCUAGAGGAAGCACGGUAAAGGUUACAGCACGAGCCAGGGCAUGUAGAUUGUUGGCAAACUGGCGGCGGAUGAUCGUCCAGGGCCACUUGUGAUGGCCCUGGAAGGCUUCAAUCUGAGAACCAAACACAGGAGUUGAGGCAUCACCAUAGUUAUCAAUGCCCCAAUGGUAAACCCCUGAGCCAAGGUCUGCAAGCACAUAGCCAAUUAGGCCAGCCAAAACAGGUUCUAGCCACAUAUGUGAAUGGGCUGAACCCGUGGCACACUUCAAUAAAGAAAUGAGCACGGUGGUGCACCCGCUUGCCACCCACGCUCGAUGAGGCCAUGUAGAUAAUAAAUCCGGGUCCUUGAUCGAGGGGCGGUCAGGGGUUUUGGCAAUGGGGGUUGGGGUUAAGGGUCUUGGUUCAAUGACUAGUUGGUCAGCUUUGUGCUUGGCCUUUGCAGUGGAGGUGGCUGAGCAGUGGACAAGGGCGGGGAAGCGUCUAUGGUGGCGUCUUCCGACAUUGUUGGGAGACCUUAGAGAGUAGUACUUGUGGUGUGGGAAGGAGGUGGACAUUGAAGGGCGUGAGAGGCUAAGAGAAAACCCACCGCAAGAGGGAGUAAAUAAAGGUGGAAAUAGUGGCUGUGGAGAUAGAGAAAGCAGUGUGGUGUGAGAAGAUGCAGCGUGGGGCUGUGGAAGUCGCUAGUGGUGUGUGGAGAAUGUGUGUCACACAUUGCUUAAGAGGCUAUCCAGGAUGAUUCCCCAACUACUCUACCAAUAUACAUCAUCAAUUGGCUAUUAUUCAUCAAGGUUCAAGCUACACCAAUGUACACCAUCCACUGGUCAUCAUCAAUCAACCAAGGCUCAAAGCAAUGGUAGAGUUGGACACGACUCAGCCAAGUCGUGUUCAACUUUACCACUAAUUGCAGUAAGUAGUAAUAUCAUGAGACUGGAUGCAAUGAUUUCGAAUUACAACACUGACUUGACUAAGAAAAUCGAAUCAUGACUGGUACAAUCAAGCCAUGAUUCACCUUAAUUAUGAUAAAGUUGCACUAUAUAUACAUCUUCGGUUUGGAUUUGGGCCAUAAGGAAUGGGGAAAUUGGGAGCAAAUUUUAGUGGUAUUUGAGUCUACAAAGAAAAAAAAGCAGACCAAACAAACAAACUUUAAACAUCAAAAGGGGAAAUCAUAGAUGACAUCCGAGCAUCCAAUGCAAAACGAUGAAGUUCUUUAGGGAGCUCAAGUGUCUCAUCAUGGAGGGUGUUCAAGUGCCCUCUGCUUUUUAUUUUCCAGAGGUAAAGAAAAACUUGUCAGCCCAUCUCGAGACCCAUCUGAAUUUGUUACUUAUUUUGCUGACUUUGAAUCAUGACCAUGGAAUUGUUUCAAAAUUCAGUUGGAAGUAAUGAAUGACUAAGAUGAUAAUGGCAACUGGGUCUAUUCUAUUCUAUCGUACAGCAAACCAUAUAGUGCGGGCCGUAGAUUCCGGGUGUUUAGAUCAAGUUUUUUCUUCCUUGGUACAAUAAUCUUAAGAAAAAAAAAAUAUUAAUAUGAAACCAAAUUCUACUCUCUCAUUGGGAUUUUAAGGGCUUUCAUAAUUGUUUUUGAAAACAAUUAUUAGUUUUUCAAAAAAAAAAGAAAAAAAGAAAACACCAUUAUAACCAGAAACAAUUUUCUAUUUUCUAAUUUUUAAAAUAAAAAAUAAGAUAUUUUUAAAUAAUAUCUUUUAAUUAUUUCAUGUUAUUUUUACUUGUUGAAGUAUCUAGAAUGAUUAAAAAUAUUAUUUCAAUUCUCAAACAGAAUUCUAUUUUAUAAAAUAUCAUAAAAUGAUUUGUAAAAAUUAUUUUAAAAAAUAAUUACCAAAUGACCUAAUUUUCUGUUAUACAUAAUAUCAUAAAUGAUUUGAGAAAUGGACCAUAAAAAAAUUAUAAAUAAAUAAAAAUUUAAAUAAAUGCAUCGAGGUUCCAUGAAUUUUGUUUUUGAAAGUAGCGUUGCACGUAAUAACAUGAAAUUAGUCCCAAACCUCAAGAGACUCCAGAAGAAUGCCUAGCUUAGUGUGGUCAAAUGUUGUAAUUAUUUAAUUAUGAAUUUGUUGAAUGCAUUUUAUUGCAUUUAUUUUUUCAAGAAUUUUUUUUUAUUAUCUUUUAUAUUAUUUUAAAUAUUUCAAGAUAUCGAUGAGAAAUUGUGAUUGAACCCUCAAGACCAUGCAUUCAAUUGGUAUUGCACACAUUCUACAAGAAUCAUUAUUUGAAUUAUUUCUCUAAAAACACGUUCCUUAAUAAAAAAACGGUAAAAAUAGAAAAUAUAAUUUUUUUAAAAUAUUUAUUUGUUUUUGAAAACUGUUUUAAAAAAUAAUUAUAUAAAUAUGUAUUUUAAUGUAAAAAUUAUUUUUAAAAUAUAUUUAAAAAUAUUUCGAAUUCUCAAAUUGAUUUUAAAAACUAUUAUAAAACAACUGUUUUUGAAAAUCGUUACCAAUUUUAUUUUAUUUAUUUGUACACACCGAUGCCGUCUUGAGACAUUGGAGAAAGAAAUUGAAUCAAAUUGAAGGAGUGGAAUCAUUGUCCCUAGAAAUUAGAUGGAAGAGUCCAAGAGAAGGGUGGGUAGUGAUCUUGAAUUAAUGGAUGGUUGAUGAGCAAAAGAAGGGGAUGGAGACACUGGUGGUGGGUGUUCUCCUCAAGUUUCCAACCCCGAAUAUGGACAAAAUGGAUAAGACUUCUCCCCACUAGGAAGUAAAAGAGCAGCAAAGAGGAAUAUGCUAGGGUUUUAGGCAUAAAAAACACUCAUAAUUUCCACUUGUUUAUGUCAUCAAUCAUGGACAAAACACAAAAUGGCUCAGGGCCAUCCAUAUCUUUUUGGAAAUGAGCUUGAUUUGAUGUAUUGUUUUCCUUGAGUAAUGCAAGGACUUUCCUAUCUAUACUCUUCUUGUAAUUUGUUUUUCUUUCUUGGAAUAUGCCCCCAUACUAUACCUAUACUUAUUCAAUAGCUUUGGAUGUAUGUGGUAAAAUUCUUACCAUGGUGUAAACUAACUUCUUAUUCAAGUCAUUGGAUUUCUGUAAUGAAAUUUAGUGGACUGUUGAUUUCAUUCAACUUUUCUGAAAUUUCAAUUAAAUAUAUCUAAUUCUAGUAGAUUUGAAAUUUUAUUAAAUAUAUUUUUUUAUUAUUUUUAUUUUUUAUUUUCACUUAUUUUCUAUUUCAUUCAAAAUAAGAAAGAUGUAUGAUAAAAUUUUAAAUUUAUGGAGAUCAUAUGUAUUUAGCCAAAAUCUCGAAAAGAGAUGAAUGAAAUUAACUCUAUAAAUAAAUGAGGUUAAUAUAUAAAAGUGUGUAUAAAUGAAUAAGAUCUAAUGACGUUAACAUAGGACCACUUAAUUAAUAUGAUUUUUUUAAUACUUAAAAGUACUUUUUAGUAUCAGACCAUUCAUUUGUUUUUUUUUUUUUUUGCCUUCUCCACAUCAAAUAUGUUAUUGUCACAAAAAACAGUCAUCAUCUUAAUAUUUCAAAAUCCAAUUUGGAAGAUUGUUAGAAUAAAACCAUUUUGUAUAAUUAGGUCAAAAAAAUAGUUCAUAAUUCAACCAUAUAAUUAGUUAAUCAUAGUGUGGGAAAGCUUCUUUCUUUCAAAAUCAAUUUUUUUUUUCUUUCCAUUUUGUCCCCAAAUGGAACAAGCAAAAAUAUUUUUUUUUGUAUUGGGCAAUCCUUUCUUUUAUCUUUUAGUAGAAGAAGAAAACAAAAGUGUUCACACCCACAAAAGUUGGAAAUCUGGUUUAUACAAAAGUAUUGUAACCUAUACCUAACAAGUUAGACACCACCUAAAUUUUCAGACCAUGAUCAUCCUCUAUUAGGGUUUGUACAAAUUUGACUAAGACUCAACUCAUUCAAACCUCUCAAACCCAUCUCCUUAAUGACAUUUUAAAUAUUAUUUUGACACCCAAAUUUAUAAAUUAUUUAAUACAAAUUUUUAUGUUUUAAAAACUUAGUCCGUUGCACACGGUACAUGUUUUCCUUUUGUUUUUUUAAAAUAAAUGAAAAUAAUUUUUAUUCAUUUUCUAAAAAUUGUUUAUUGAGAAAAAUGGUCAUACAAUAUUAAAAAAUUUUAAAAAUAAUUUUUUAUUUUUAAAAAUAAAAAAUUAUUUUAAAUCAUCAAGCUAUUAAAUUAUUUAGUAAGUGAGCAUAAAAACUAAAAUAUUUUCAAACCUAUAUCAUUAGGAUAUUUGUCCUAUUAUAAUUAUGAAAGAAAGUAAUAAUUUUUAGUUUUGAAAACAUAAAAAUUGUAAAUGAUAAUGAAAUCAUAUUUGGAAAAUUUAUUUUUUGAUAUCAUUAUUUCUAAAAUACAAUUAAUUACUUGAAUGAUUAAAAAUAUUAAAAAUAAAAAAAAAUAAUCACAUUUUUUUUUCAUUUUUGAAAUAAAAAACGUUUGUAUAAAUAAUAAUAAUAAUAAAAUUUGUGUCUAAAAAUAGGAAAAAUAUUUAUUAAUUCAUUUAUAUGAAAAAGUCCAAAAAUAUGAAGGCAUGUGGGUAUGGAUUGUGAAUAAAUUAUAUAUAGGAGUCAAACUUAGAUCCACCUCUCAUCAUCACUACAAUAGUCUCUCUCCCUUUGUCUCCUUACACCAUCUUCCCUCAUCUACCCCAUGGCACCAUCUUCUCCCUCCGCCUGUCUCCUCCAAACCACCCAUCUCAGAACCUUCCUCUUAAUCUCUCUUCUGGUCUUUGUGCCCCCCAUUCAUGCGCUGAAACCCCCAAUUCGGCCGCGGGAUAUUCUGCCGUUGUUGCCCAGACAGCUCUCAUGGCCGAUUCUCAACUCCCUCCACAGCGCAGUGGACCUUCUGCCCACUUUUGUGGGCUCUGCCUCCUCCAACGACACUGUCGAGUGGAAAGGGACGUGCUUUUACGAGACCAGGGCUUGGAUGGAGUUCAACAACAAAAGUGGGAGCGAAUUUGGUGGGGGCACACUUCAUAUUAAGGUUUGGGUUUGGGCUUGGGUUUUGAUUGCUUUGUUUAAUUUUGAUUGUUUUUGUGGGAAUAGGGAUUGUUGGGCAUGUGGGUUUUGGUUGUUAUUGGACCUCCAUGAGGUUUCCCGGAUUUUCAUUUGAGGGUGUGCAGUCACAAACGUACCUGAUUCUUUUUUGUUUUUAAAUUUUACUUAAUUUUAUGAUAUUUAAAGUAUUGGUGAUUAUUUUGUGUGAUUUUUGGUUGAUCUUCUGGAAAUUUAGAGUAUUGGGAGGUGGGUUUAGUUUUUCUUGAAUAGCAAUGUGUUUUUCUUGGUUUUCAUUUGAGGAUUUUUUAUCAGACGGAUACCUAUUUUUUUUGUUAUAUUUUUCCUUAAAUUAUUGAAUAUUGUAAUUUAUUUUCUGGGAUGUGAAGUAUUGGGUGUCUGGGUCUUGGUGUUAUUGUGCAGUACUAAUCUUUCUGGUCUGUGAUGAGAAUACCUGACUGGGGGACUAUCUUUGCCUACCUUUUUAUUUUUUAUUUCUAAGGAGAAUGAUUUUCUCAUUCUGGAUUACUUUUUAUUUCUAUAAGGAAAAUGAUUUUCUCAGUGAAAAUUUGUAAGAAAAUUAAAUGUAAUUAAAAUUAGCAAAAAAUUUAAAUAUUUUUAAACCAUUUAAUAUUUGAAUAGAAGAGAAAAAAAAUAAGUGAAGUCACUUUAAAUAUAAUUAUUAUUAUUUUUUUCUACCCUCUACUUUUCCUGUUUAUUUUAUUUCCCUUACAUUUUCCCCUCGUAUUUUUCAGGAACCAAACAUAGAAUUAGUGUUUUAGAGUAUUGGAUAUAUGGGUAUCAGUGGCAGUGAUAUCUGGGUAUUGGUGGCAGUGAACACUACGGACCUUUUGUUAUCAAGGUGUCAAAUGGACAUGCAUAAUUCUUUGGUAUUAGUUUGCUUUUGUAGAAAUCUGGAUAACUGGGUGUAUAGAUAUUUGUAAUAUUGAAAACUACUUAUCUUUUGUAGGACCUCUUUGGAUGGUUGGUUCAGAGGUUUGUGGUGAGACUCAAUUGGGGUUUAAAUUUUAGUUGAUUUUCUACCAUUUUUGUAAAUAUAUAUUGAAUGACACUGCCCUGAAAAUUAGCCUUUUAAAGGAGAUAUCAGAGGGAUUUGUUAAUAUUAGAUUAUGUUUGCAUCUAUGUGGGAGAAGUUGCAAAUUGGUAGUACAGCUUCUUAAUACUUGAUGGUGGCUGCUAGGCUUCCAUUUUUGCAACCCACUUUUGUCCUACAUAUAUUAGUACUCCACAAUAAUGAUGCACUAACACCAGUGAUGUUACAGACUCAGGGACAAGUGUCAGGUCCAGGUCUAGCUUUUGUUUCAGAUAGAUCUGAUUCCCAAAUUUUUACAUUUAUAGUUGGUUGAAUCAUAAAAAUGUCCAACUUUCAUCAAUGUCUUCCUUAAAAUAAAAUGAUAUUUCUCUGUUACAUAGCUUGUUUGACAUUGGAACUUGAUACUUUUUGUAACAUUUAUUGAUGAGGAUAAAGUAGGAAGCUAUCCUAGGGAAGGAACUUGUUCUUGUCUUCAUUUGUUGUAUACUUCUGCUGCUAAUGUCCAAUAGUGGAUUGGCUUGUUUCAUAUUCACAACCCAUACCCGUGUAAUGUUGAAACAUAGAGCAAAUGCGAUGGUGCAGAUAGAGUGCAUAAGCAAUGUUACUUCUUUCAUCUGGAAGUAUUACCAAUGCAACAUAAGUAGAAAGUAACUCAUAGCUUUAAUAAGGUCUUUGAACAAUUUUUUCCUCGGAUUUAAUGUUGUUUCAUUUUUUGGUUUGUAAUUUUAGAUAAUGGCCUUAUUGAACAUAGACAUGGUCCUUGUUGGAUUUAGCUCCAACACUGCUUAUUAGCUUGGAAGCUUCUUGUAUUAGUAUAAUCAUAUACCCUAAUAUGGCCAGCAGAAGAAUAGAUUAUUUUUAGCUUUAAAAUGCUACUCUUUACUUGUUCAGGUUAGUAGUGCCCAUAGUUGGACAUGUAUGGACCUUUAUGUCUUUGCAACUCCAUACCAAGUGACAUGGGAUUACUACUUUUUGUCUCGGGAGCAUACCAUUGAGUUCAAUGCAUGGGAAGAAAAAGCUGAGUUUGAAUACGUAAGUUACUACUGGAUAGCACUUACUACCUCUUCUAAUUGUUUCUUAGUAUUUAUUCCUGAUUCAUAAUAUAUCCUUACUUUCUACUAAAUCAGGUGAAAAACAAAGGGGUUUCAGUUUUUCUCAUGCAAGCUGGGAUGCUGGGAACCCUUGAAGCUCUCUGGGAUGUCUUCCCAUUAUUCACAAAUACUGGAUGGGGUGAGAACGCAAACCUUGGGUUUCUCAAGAAGCAUAUGGGGGCUUCAUUUCAAACACGUCCUCAGCCAUGGGUUACAAACAUUAGUGUUGAUGAUCUUCACUCUGGAGAUUUCCUUGCAAUAUCAAAAAUUCGUGGACGGUGGGGUGGUUUUGAGACUCUAGAGAAGUGGGUCACUGGAUCUUAUGCUGGUCAUUCCGCAGUUUGCUUAAGGGAUUCUGAAGGGAAGCUAUGGGUUGGUGAAUCAGGACAUAGAAAUG